This 194-nucleotide long non-coding RNA is filed under the name Monodelphis domestica (gray short-tailed opossum). RNAcentral describes it as "lncRNA (ENSMODG00000038581.1)". The record is from RNAcentral. Lineage: Eukaryota; Metazoa; Chordata; Mammalia; Didelphimorphia; Didelphidae.
AUGGAAGAAUACAUGGCAGGAGACAAUUGGGAUAUUUCCCAAGGAGUUAAGUUUUCUCUGGCCUCUUCCAGUGAACUACAAGUUUUGGUUUACCAGUUGGUCCUUGCAUGUUCUUGUGACUGGAGGUGUGCCAAAGUCUUAUAGAUGUUGGUAUGGAUAGAAAUCCAAUGACAGGUGAAGAUUCUAUCAGGUUG